RNAcentral lists this ribosomal RNA (385 nucleotides) under uncultured bacterium. RNAcentral's name for it is "bacterial SSU rRNA". It matches the Rfam family "Bacterial small subunit ribosomal RNA", at positions 30 to 416 of the family's 1533-position model. The record is from RNAcentral.
AUUGAACGCUGGCGGAAUGCUUUACACAUGCAAGUCGAGCGGCAGCGCGGGGCAACCUGGCGGCGAGCGGCGAACGGGUGAGUAAUGUAUCGGAACGUAUCCUUAAGUGGGGGACAACUAGUCGAAAGACUAGCUAAUACCGCAUACGAUCGAGAGAUGAAAGUGGGGGACCGCAAGGCCUCACGCUUUUGGAGCGGCCGAUAUCCGAUUAGCUUGUUGGUGAGGUAAAGGCUUACCAAGGCUAUGAUCGGUAGCUGGUCUGAGAGGAUGAUCAGCCACACUGGGACUGAGACACGGCCCAGACUCCUACGGGAGGCAGCAGUGGGGAAUUUUUGGACAAUGGGGGCAACCCUGAUCCAGCCAUGCCGCGUGAGUGAAGAAGGCC